Molecule: long non-coding RNA, 1005 nt
Organism: Bufo gargarizans (Asiatic toad)
Lineage: Eukaryota; Metazoa; Chordata; Amphibia; Anura; Bufonidae
Exons: 2
Source: RefSeq, a predicted model, not a curated record
UUUCGGCUGUAUGUCCGUUUAGGGGCGGUUUAGGGCUGUGCUAACCGUCUUUGUCUUGUCUUUGCAGGUGCCGCACCGUUGUUAGUAUGGAUUUUGGGCCAUUCCUUCGUUUUUUGGGGGGCCUUGAGGGCGGACGUCCGACAGAAUGGGCGCCAGUUGGGGUUUGAGCGUGGGAUGGCCGUGGUGAGAUGGAUCGGGCGUAGAGGUAUGUUGUGGGGUAGUGUGCUUCAGGAGGUUCAUCGUCACGUUAGACUGGAUAGGGCCCCGGAUGUCUUGGUAUUACAUGUUGGGGGGAAUGACCUUGGGGUCCGUCCCUGCAGGGAAUUGAUUAGGGAUAUUCGUUUCGAUUUCUUGCGUUUAUGGUCCCUUUUUCCGUCAAUGGUCACGGUAUGGUCUGACAUUGUGCCCAGGAAGGUCUGGAGGGAGGCGAGAUCUGUGGACAAGCUCAAUAAGGCCAGGAUUAAACUGAACCGGGUUAUUGGGCGGUUUUGUGCCAAGCAUGGUGCAGUGGUGGUGCGGCACCCUGAGUUGGAAGCAGGGACUGGAGGUUUUUGGAGACAGGAUGGGGUCCACCUUAAUGCGGUGGGUAUUGACUUGUGGUCCCUUGAUUUGCAGGGAGGUGUUGAGAGGGCCCUCCGGGUGUGGCGGAACGCGCGAGCUUAAGGUUGCGGUCAAGCUGCGCGUUGUUGGCGGGGGGAGGUCAUAGAAGCUGGGGCUACUGGAUGGUAACGGUGAAUGAGAGGGCCUCAAUGGUGGGGCUGGACUCUCAGAGUUGGGGCACCUGGUUGGCUUGGUACGGCGUCCGUCAGUUGGUGUCCCCGAGCUUGUGGUAAGCGGCUGGGGGCAAGAUGGAAUAGCCGUGGUGGUUUGUGGUCGUUUAAGGUGCAGUUAGGCGGCUUCUAGGACCUCCCUCGUCAGUUAUAUAUUUAUACAAAUGUUUAUGUUUUGUUCAUGUUAUUUAUAUUAUUUAAUAAAGAACGGCUGCUGUGGCCGAUUUAAUCCAAA